UUGGAGGGCAAGUCUGGUGCCAGCAGCCGCGGUAAUUCCAGCUCCAAUAGCGUAUAUUAAAGUUGUUGCAGUUAAAAAGCUCGUAGUUGAAUUUCGGGGUUCAUACGUUGGUCGGGCUUUUUGGUCUGUACUAGCGUAAUGGAUUCCUACCUUCUGAAUAACCGGCAUGCCAUUAAUUUGGUGCGUCGGGGAAGCAGGACUGUUACCUUGAAAAAAUUAGAGUGCUUAAAGCAGGCUAUCGCCUGAAUACAUUAGCAUGGAAUAAUGAAAUAGGACGGCAUGGUUCUAUUUUGUUGGUUUCUAGGAUCACCGUAAUGAUUAAUAGGGAUAGUUGGGGGCAUUAGUAUUCAAUUGUCAGAGGUGAAAUUCUUGGAUUUAUUGAAGACUAACUUCUGCGAAAGCAUUUGCCAAGGAUGUUUUCAUUAAUCAAGAGCGAAAGUUAGGGGAUCGAAGACGAUCAGAUACCGUCGUAGUCUUAACCAUAAACUAUGCCGACUAGGAAUCGGACGAUGUUAAUUUUUUAAUGACUCGUUCGGCGCCUUACGGGAAAC
RNAcentral lists this ribosomal RNA (551 nucleotides) under uncultured Acaulospora. RNAcentral's name for it is "SSU rRNA". It matches the Rfam family "Eukaryotic small subunit ribosomal RNA", at positions 548 to 1098 of the family's 1831-position model. The record is from RNAcentral. Lineage: Eukaryota; Fungi; Glomeromycota; Glomeromycetes; Diversisporales; Acaulosporaceae.